RNAcentral lists this ribosomal RNA (369 nucleotides) under uncultured bacterium. RNAcentral describes it as "partial 16S ribosomal RNA". It matches the Rfam family "Bacterial small subunit ribosomal RNA", at positions 338 to 723 of the family's 1533-position model. The record is from RNAcentral.
CCUACGGGUGGCUGCAGUGGGGAAUAUUGGGCAAUGGGCGCAAGCCUGACCCAGCAACGCCGCGUGAAGGAAGAAGGCUUUCGGGUUGUAAACUUCUUUUAAGAGGGAAGAGUAGAAGACGGUACCUCUUGAAUAAGCUACGGCUAACUACGUGCCAGCAGCCGCGGUAAUACGUAGGUGGCAAGCGUUGUCCGGAUUUAUUGGGUUUAAAGGGUGCGCAGGCGGUUUGUUAGGGCAGUGGUCAAGGCCCGGGGCCAAACCGGGACCCGCCGUUGAAACUGGCAGUCUCGCGUUGGAGAGAGGUAUGCGGAAUGCGUGGUGUAGCGGUGAAAUGCAUAGAUAUCGGGAAGAACUCCGAUUGCGAAGGCA